Long non-coding RNA from Monomorium pharaonis (pharaoh ant), 555 nucleotides. RefSeq lists it as uncharacterized. The record is from RefSeq and is a predicted model, not a curated record. Lineage: Eukaryota; Metazoa; Arthropoda; Insecta; Hymenoptera; Formicidae. The transcript has 2 exons.
CAAUCGAGAGUUGUGUCCGUGGUCGAGACACAAACACGACUCUCAACUUGUGCGUGCCUUCACCAAUGAGACUAUCUUGAUGCUGGCGGCCGAAAACUUGCGCCACUGCAUCCAUCCCCAGUAAAUUGUACCCUCACUACUAAUACGCUCCUUCCUCUGAUUUUUUACUCUUUAAAUAGGAGAAGAAAACAUGGAGAAAGAGUGUCUAUAUAGCCAAAAUAUGCGCAGAGCGAUGCUUUUUUCCGCCAGAUUCUUUCAUUUCGUGCAAAACCGCGUUAAAUGAGCCUACGUUCAUCGAUUUUGGAGUUUUAGGAAACAUAUAUAAAGCCAACACAUACUAUUCAUGGAGUUUAUCAAAAUUUAUCAUUCUUUAGCAUAUUUUUCCAUGAGUAAGAUUGUUAAGGCUAUAGAUCGUCGAGAGAGAUACACCGUCGCUGUAAGAUUUGCAGUAACGCGCACUAACGACCGGCAGCAAGUUUCAGUACCUAGUGAAUGAAUCUGUAUUGUAUCUGUACUCGUACUAUGACAAUCGAAUUAAAUGUGAAUGCGAAAUAA